Long non-coding RNA from Cercocebus atys (sooty mangabey), 1299 nucleotides. RefSeq lists it as uncharacterized. The transcript is spliced from 5 exons. The record is from RefSeq and is a predicted model, not a curated record. NCBI's taxonomy places the organism in Eukaryota, Metazoa, Chordata, Mammalia, Primates, Cercopithecidae.
UUGGGCUUCAGAUCUGAACAUGCUCAAUACUUUGCUCUAGAUAAUAAUGCCUGCAUCACGACUUUAAUUUGCAUUUCCAGAUCUUGGGAAUUGUGGAUAAAAAUUAAGUCAGGCUGCUGUUUCCAGGAAGGAACACUGUGUCUUUCAAAAUUGUAGGGAAAUUGCUAGGCAUUGUUCACCUGAACUGCAGAGAGAACAGGCAUGGGUGAUAUUUGGCAUAACCAGCUUUCUUAUAAGGGUUCCUUCUAGAAAACUUGUAUAAAAUUUGCAUCAACGUUAAGAGCAUGGGCUCUGGAGUUGGACAAGAUAGUCUUAAAAUACCGUGUCAGCCAUCGACUAUCUCUGUGAUUUUAGCAUUUGUUUGCCCUCGGGAUAUCCAGACUCCAGUGAACUGUGCUGUCCGGCCAUCCAGUGCUUAGGCUCUGGCCUCGGAAACGACUGAGUUGACUUCCUAUUCCCUGACUUCCGGCUUUUAGGACCUCAGACCAUUGGAAUUCAUUUCAGAAGACCCAGCUUCCGUUUAUGUUUUAUUUCUGAAUGUAGAACAGAGAAGAAAUCUGAACUUGGAAAACUGAAAUGACUCGUCCACAUUCACACAGCUGUGUUGCUUGUAGAGCCAUGAGCAGAAGUCGUCAUCCUGGUACAGGGCGAAUCGGGCUAAAUAUCCUGUUAAUACUUCUUUCUGCAUCUUUGUGGUUAUCAAUUUCAUGACACUUUCAUUUUCUUGUUAAUCUAGCCUUUAACAAUUGAAAUUACCUUUCAUGCCUCUCAUCACAUUUUAUAUAUCAAUCAUUAACUAUAAAUGUUGUCCUUCCUCUUCAGAAUGGUAGUCCAAAGACAUGAGUUAGAGUCACAAAAUCUGAAAAUCACAUGGUCUGUGAUCUUCUACUUUCUGGAAUUUUAAAAAUUGGAAUCACACCCUCUAAAUAAGGUUUUUUGGUAAGAAUUUUAAUGAAGAACAUUAAAUGAAGAACAUGGAUUAUAACUACAUGGUGCUAAGCAAAUGUCAUCAUAUCAAAUGUUCGUUUUUCUCCAAUCCUGAUUUCAGGAACAAAAAAAGCAGUGAAGUUGGAGCAUAGUGAAUGAUAUGGUUUGGCUCUGUGUCCCCAUCCAAAUCUCAGCUUGUAGCUCCCAUAAUUCCCACAUGUUGUGGGAGGGACCCAACUGGAGAUGAUUGAAUCAUGGGGGCGGGUCUUUCCUGUGAUGCUCUCAUGAUAGCAAAUGGGUCUAACAAGAUAUGAUGGUUUUAAAAAUGGGAGUUUCUCUGCACAGCUCCCUCUUUGCCUGCUGUCAUCUAUG